GGAGAGGGUAUAGCUCAGUGGUAGAGUGUGUGCUUGGCAUGCACGAGGUCCUGGGUUCAAUCCCCAGUACUUCCA
Molecule: transfer RNA, 75 nt
Filed under: Vicugna pacos (alpaca)
Lineage: Eukaryota; Metazoa; Chordata; Mammalia; Artiodactyla; Camelidae
Description: tRNA-Ala (GGC) (tRNA-Ala-GGC-34-1)
Rfam family: tRNA
About the family: Transfer RNA (tRNA) molecules are approximately 80 nucleotides in length. Their secondary structure includes four short double-helical elements and three loops (D, anti-codon, and T loops).
Source: RNAcentral